This 312-nucleotide small RNA is filed under the name Histoplasma ohiense. RNAcentral describes it as "hypothetical lncRNA". Lineage: Eukaryota; Fungi; Ascomycota; Eurotiomycetes; Onygenales; Ajellomycetaceae. The record is from RNAcentral.
CUAGGCUGAUCGAAGCUGACAAGGCAGUUUUCAAGCCCCUGCGAGUCUCUGCAGUAAGGGACCUGCAGUCCCCCGCAGGCCUUGCUGAAAGCUGCCAGGAAGCUGAACCUUAUUUUGCCAGCCCCUUGAAGGCUAUUCUGAAUUUCCUGGUGGAUGAUAAGCGUAUGGCAUACCCCGUGCGGGCUUUAUCUCACACUUGCGGACGACCAAAUCUCUCAAGCACAACAAUCAACAGCCAGAAUUGUUCUAGACUAAAAGGCCCAAAGGCAAACCAAUCGCAUCCUCGGGUGGCUUAAUUGCUCUCCUAAAACC